Molecule: transfer RNA, 74 nt
Filed under: Microlunatus soli
Lineage: Bacteria; Bacillati; Actinomycetota; Actinomycetes; Propionibacteriales; Propionibacteriaceae
Also listed under: 1 other name
Rfam family: tRNA
About the family: Transfer RNA (tRNA) molecules are approximately 80 nucleotides in length. Their secondary structure includes four short double-helical elements and three loops (D, anti-codon, and T loops). Further hydrogen bonds mediate the characteristic L-shaped molecular structure. tRNAs have two regions of fundamental functional importance: the anti-codon, which is responsible for specific mRNA codon recognition, and the 3' end, to which the tRNAs corresponding amino acid is attached (by aminoacyl-tRNA synthetases). tRNAs cope with the degeneracy of the genetic code in two manners: having more than one tRNA (with a specific anti-codon) for a particular amino acid; and 'wobble' base-pairing, i.e. permitting non-standard base-pairing at the 3rd anti-codon position.
Source: Rfam by way of RNAcentral
GGGUGCAUAGCUCAGUUGGUUAGAGCACUUCCCUUACAAGGAAGGGGCCGGGGGUUCGAGUCCCUCUGCACCCA